This 217-nucleotide ribosomal RNA is filed under the name uncultured bacterium. RNAcentral's name for it is "partial 16S ribosomal RNA". It matches the Rfam family "Bacterial small subunit ribosomal RNA", at positions 328 to 544 of the family's 1533-position model. The record is from RNAcentral.
ACGCUCGACACCUACGGGAGCAGCAGUGAGGAAUAUUGGUCAAUGGGCGCUAGCCUGAACCAGCCAAGUAGCGUGAAGGAUGAAGGCUCUAUGGGUCGUAAACUUCUUUUAUAUAAGAAUAAAGUGCAGUAUGUAUACUGUUUUGUAUGUAUUAUAUGAAUAAGGAUCGGCUAACUCCGUGCCAGAGCCGCGGUAAUCUGAGCGGGCGUGGCAAGGC